CGCAAGCUAUCGCUUAAGGAUGAGCCCGCGGCUGAUUAGCUAGUUGGUAGGGUAACGGCCUACCAAGGCGACGAUCAGUAGCCGGCCUGAGAGGGUGUACGGCCACACUGGAACUGAGACACGGUCCAGACUCCUUCGGGAGGCAGCAGUCGAGAAUCUUCCCCAAUGGGCGAAAGCCUGAGGGAGCGACGCCGCGUGAGGGAUGAAGGCCCUUUGGGUUGUAAACCUCUGUUAGGGGGAAAGAACAGCAGUGGGAGCAAUAUGUCCAUUGCCUGACGUUACCCCCAGAGAAAGCUCCGGCCAACUCCGUGCCAGCAGCCGCGGUAAUACGGGGGGAGCAAGCGUUGUCCGGAAUCAUUGGGCGUAAAGGGCGUGUAGGCGGUUUGGCAAGUCGAAUGUGAAAUCCCACGGCUCAACCGUGGAACUGCGUUCGAAACUGCCUUACUUGAGUGCGGGAGAGGUGUGCGGAAUUCCUGGUGUAGCGGUGGAAUGCGUAGAUAUCAGGAAGAACACCGGUGGCGAAGGCGGCACACUGGCCCAGCACUGACGCUGAGGCGCGAAAGCGUGGGGAGCGAACGGGAUUAGAUACCCCGGUAGUCCACGCUGUAAACUUUGGGCACUAGGUAUUGGAGGUCUCAACCCCUUCAGUGCCGUAGCUAACGCG
This 664-nucleotide ribosomal RNA is filed under the name uncultured bacterium. RNAcentral's name for it is "bacterial SSU rRNA". It matches the Rfam family "Bacterial small subunit ribosomal RNA", at positions 201 to 859 of the family's 1533-position model. The record is from RNAcentral.